This 510-nucleotide ribosomal RNA is filed under the name Trichocomaceae sp. RNAcentral's name for it is "SSU rRNA". It matches the Rfam family "Eukaryotic small subunit ribosomal RNA", at positions 654 to 1168 of the family's 1831-position model. Lineage: Eukaryota; Fungi; Ascomycota; Eurotiomycetes; Eurotiales; Trichocomaceae. The record is from RNAcentral.
GCGGCCGGUCGCCUCCCGCGAGUACUGGUCCGGCUGGACCUUUCCUUCUGGGGAACCCCAUGGCCUUCACUGGCUGUGGGGGGAACCAGGACUUUUACUGUGAAAAAAUUAGAGUGUUCAAAGCAGGCCUUUGCUCGAAUACAUUAGCAUGGAAUAAUAGAAUAGGACGUGCGGUUCUAUUUUGUUGGUUUCUAGGACCGCCGUAAUGAUUAAUAGGGAUAGUCGGGGGCGUCAGUAUUCAGCUGUCAGAGGUGAAAUUCUUGGAUUUGCUGAAGACUAACUACUGCGAAAGCAUUCGCCAAGGAUGUUUUCAUUAAUCAGGGAACGAAAGUUAGGGGAUCGAAGACGAUCAGAUACCGUCGUAGUCUUAACCAUAAACUAUGCCGACUAGGGAUCGGACGGUGUUUCUAUUAUGACCCGUUCGGCACCUUACGAGAAAUCAAAGUUUUUGGGUUCUGGGGGGAGUAUGGUCGCAAGGCUGAAACUUAAAGAAAUUGACGGAAGGGCACC